GUGUCAGCCGCCGCGGUAAUACGUAGGGGGCAAGCGUUGUCCGGAUUUACUGGGCGUAAAGCGCACGCAGGCGGUCGUGUAAGUUUGGGGUUACAGCUCCCGGCUCAACUGGGAGAGCGCCUUGAAGACUGCAGGACUUGAGGGCCAGAGAGGGACACAGAAUUCCGGGUGUAGUGGUGAAAUGCGUAGAUAUCCGGAGGAAUACCAAAGGCGAAGGCAGUGUCCUGGCUGGUGACUGACGCUGAGGUGCGAAAGCUAGGGGAGCGAACGGGAUUAGAUACCCCGGUAGUCCUAGCCGUAAACGAUGACCACUAGGUGUGGGAGGUAUCGACCCCUUCCGUGCCGUAGCCAACGCGUUAAACGUGCCGCCUGGGAAGUACGGUCGCAAGAUUAAAACUCAAAGGAUUGACGG
This 412-nucleotide ribosomal RNA is filed under the name uncultured bacterium. Its description in RNAcentral is "bacterial SSU rRNA". It matches the Rfam family "Bacterial small subunit ribosomal RNA", at positions 505 to 916 of the family's 1533-position model. The record is from RNAcentral.